This 11580-nucleotide long non-coding RNA is filed under the name Lynx pardinus (Iberian lynx). The stretch from base 9319 to 9403 matches the Rfam family "tRNA". Lineage: Eukaryota; Metazoa; Chordata; Mammalia; Carnivora; Felidae. The record is from RNAcentral.
GGCACAUCGAAUCCAUCGUCAUCUUCUCUCCUUCCAUCACUGCAUUUUAUUUUUGCAGGUGAGGUCUCUGCUAUCCAUACAGUUCUACUCGGGGAAAAAAAAUCAGAUUGAAUGAAGCAAACCAAAACAGAAGUAACACUUUUAUUUUCAUUUCAUUUCCUCUGUCUUAAAUAGCCUGGUUUCCAUGUGGAGAUACUGCUUAAUUCCUACACCCUUAUUUUGUAUUUCUAACUAACAUACCGUUUUCACUUUGAUUGUCUACUCUUAAACUGCUUUUUUCUAGAGAAGACGAUAACCAUUUGCCAUUUGUGUAGGUAGACAUUGUCCUAAUACUUUAACGUAAGCAUGGAUUUUUUUCACUUUCUCUCUGCUAUUAAACCUGUGAGGCAGAAAUUAUUAUUCCCAUUUUAUGGAUGAGGAAAUGGAGGUUCAAGAGGUUAAGUAAUUUGCCCAACAUCCUAGACUCAAAAAUUUCAGGUAUGGGAUUUAAUCCAAGGUCUGUGUUUCUUACCAUUACUAUGCAGCCAGGAUACAUGAGCAAAUCUACUGGUUUCAAGACUACAAAUGAGACUAAAAGAGUGUAGAAUGACUUAAAUUCUAAAUCAGCUUUCAGUCCAACUUUCUCUCCAUUUCCAGCACCAUUUGCUCUUUCUAAUUCCUUCUUAAAGGGCUUUGUGUUUUCCAUCUUUUUUCUGUCAAAUUUGCUCUUCCCACAGAUGCUAGACAUGUCUUUCAAAUGUAAAUCUGAUAGUAUUAUUUUCUUCCUUAAGCUUCUUUGGUGUUUCCCUUCACCUACACUAGCAGUUUUCCAACUGUUAUUGCACGCAGGUGCUCUAGUGAUUCAGCAAACGCUCGAUUAUGUUUUAGUUUGAAAUAGUUGUAAUCUUCUAUACUGUUUCAAGAGAUCAAGUGUGUUUAAAUGAAAUUUAUUUUUAACCUUUUGAAACUGGUGUGGGAUUAAGGGGCAGUCUACCAGCUGAUUGCUCACAAUGCCUGAGGAGAAGAGGCAUGGAAACCUCCCUAAUAAGAAUAGGUGUUUAUAUAUAUCUAUAUCUAUAAUAUAUAUAUAUAUAUAUAUUAUAUAUAUAUAUAUUAUAUAUAUAGAUAUAUAUAAUAUAUAUAUAUAUUUUAAUUUUGGAAAGACAGAGAGAGAGAGAGAGAGGGAGAGAGAGAGAAUCUUAAGCAGGCUCCAUGCUCAGUGUGGAGCCUGACCUAGGGUUCGAUCCCACGACCCUGGGAUCAUGACCUGAGCUGAAAUCAAGAGUCGGACACUCAACUGACUGAACCACCCAGGCCACCCUCCCCCCCAAAAUAGGUAUUUUUAAUGCCAAUAAACUCAGAUUUCUAUGAGGCACCUUUAACAUCAUCAGCAGAAUGUAAAUUUGUUCUUCCCUCGAAGUAUUUAGUGCUCUCAAACAAAAAUAAACAAAAUAAAUCCAUAACAAAAAAACCCCGUAAUUUUUACUGGUGCUGACCUACAUUUGCUAAAUAUUUUACAGCUGGCACAGACUAAAUGCAUACCCCAAUCCCAGUCCUGUUGCAAACUGAUGUAGCCGAUGUGGUUAUUCUGAAUUAUCAGUUCUUUUUGAUGGAUAUGGGCACUGGCUAAUUUUUAGAGAUAGCUGAGGUCUGUAGGUUUCCAAGCCUACAGCUGUGCCGUGAUAGGAGCCGUUAAAAUGAUGGUUCAAUCUCAGACCGACUCCUACCACACAUACAAACCAUCUAUUAGCAAGAAAUUACAAAAAGUUGUAGUAUCACUUCUGAAAAUUUGAAGUCCCAGCUCUCUGUCCUUGCACUUUACAUAGAACAUUCACUCAAGCCAGAUGUGACAGCGUUUUAGCAGCCAGUUUUCUGGUCAAGGGAAGGAAAUAUUUUUCUGAUGAUGCGCUGCAGAAUCGCAAGCUUAGAGCUUUGCUUUGUAAGGUGUAGGACGUUGAGCUCAUUGGAUUCUUGGGUGGAUUUCUUACAAAUUUCUAGUCAGUGGGCAUACCUUGAUAAAUGUUAAGAUCCAUUAUGCUACUUAACACAGUGUCCUCUGUAGCUGAUGGAGAAAGCAUUAGCACUUACAGUAGCUAUAUUUAUUUGAACUACGAGUUUGUAAAUAAUAGACUUCUAAAGGAUAACUAAGACUGGAGUUGUUUACUUACCACCUGUAAGUUACGGAGUAAAACAACUUGAACCCCAGCCUCACUAGAAUGAAGUAAAUGGACUCCAAAAAUUCACUCAUGUAACACACAGGUGAUCUUGGGAUAUGGGGCCUAGAGAACAUGGGGGAGGCUGCCUGAUCCUCCAAAGGGUAAGAACUACUGGACAUUGGCAGAACAUUGGAGAAUAAGGACUGGUCAGGUGAUGGGAGACAGUCCCAACCAAUUCAUGAUUAAAUGUGAGGUUUCAUGGGAUAUUUUUUGGCUUAUAUCAAACUGUCUCUGUUGAAGUAUUUCAAGAUAAACUGCAAACCAUAGAAGACCUCACUAGCAAUCAAGUGAAAUGCCUACCAAGAGUCCCUUGAAGUUGACUGUCCCAGUAACCAUGAGCUCUAACCUAAGUAAACGGUCACCCACUAGUCUUUAUUAGGAAUGUGUUUUAUUUUGUACCUCUGUAUUUUAAAAAUCUUUAAGAUGUGUUUCAGGAAAAUGUUUAAUUUGGAAAAUUACAAAAGAGCAUUGAAGGGGCACCUCGGUGGCUCAGUCAGCUGAGUGUCCGACUCUCAAUUUCUGCUCAGGUCAUGAUCUCCGUUUGUGGGAUCGAGCCCCACAUUGGGCUCUGUGCUGACUGUGCGGAGCCUGCUUGGGAUUCUCUCUCUCUCCCUCUCUCUCUGCCCCUCCCCACUCUCACGCUCUCACUUCCUCUCUCUCUCUCUUUCUCUCUCUCAAAAUAAGUAAAUAAACUUUAAAAAAGAACAUCAAAGAGAAAGUAAAAAUAAUAGAAUAUUAGGAAAUGUUUUCCCACAUAAAACACUGCAAAGAUCAAAUAUAUUUUAAAGAAAAUUUGAGAACUAUUAGCCAGUGUACUUCAGGGGUUUGUGUAGCCAAUGUUAACUAGUUAGAAGUGAUGAACAACUUGAAAAAUAAUUCCAAAAAUUAUAUUUAGUGUAUAGAAUGUCUUCAUUUUUCAUGCAGAAAUAGUUGUUAUCAAUUUUAGUUUGCAGGCCCUUGUGAUAAAUGUAGCAUAUAAGCUGCAAAAUGGGCUCUGGAGAUAGAUGGCCUGGAUUUGGAACCUGGCUCUUCUCUUUAUUUACUGUACAAUUCUGUUGUUUAAUUUCAAGCUUUAUUUUUUUUAAUUUUAUUUGAGGGAGAGAGAGAGGGAGUGCAUGCACAUGUGCUCGAGAGUGAGCAGGGGAGGGGCAGAGGGGGAGAGAGAGGAUCCCAAGCAGGCUCCACUCUCAGCGUGGAGCCGGACCCAUGACAGGGUCCCAUGACCCUGGGAUCAUGACCUGAGCUCGAAUCAAGAAUCGGAUGUUCAACCAACUGGGCCACCCAGGCAACCCUGUUUAAUUUCACCGUUUCCUACUCCCUUGUGAGUAAAAUGGGAUAAUGUUAGUACCUACUACAUAGGGUGAUGUGAGGAUAAAAUGAGUUGAAUAUGUAAAAUGCUAUGACUAUUGCCUGGCUCAUAGGAAGUGUUUUAAAUUAAGCUUUUUUUUUUUUUCCUGAACGUCUAAACUAUCUGAUAUACUCUGACUUACCCACUGACUUGCCCUCCCUAAACAUGUUUGAGAGUCUUAUAAUAAAGAAAUUUCAAGGAAUGACUGUUCCUGAAGUUCAGUCCAUGUUGGUAGUAACGUCUGUUGUCAGAAUAAUGAUGUCCUAUAAAAGUGGAUGUUUCUCUGACUCUAUGCCAAUUUCAGGCAUUUUCCUGUUGUAAUCACAGGAAAGGUCACCAAAGACCAACCACCUUAGGUUACCAAUCUGUUGUUUAUGAAUUCCCUGCGGUGUUGGGGAAAGAACAGGUGAUGAGCCCCUGCUAUUCACAGAAUGCAUAAUACUCUCAUUCCCUCCGGAGUUGCAAGGGAGAACCCUGGCGAUCUCUUUCCUCAGUGACGGACUGACUUCUACAGUCUAAACUUGAUGCAUAAGCUCGUGUUCUCAUUGGCAGCCACCAUUGCUCAACCUGCGACUCCAGAAGCUGCAGAGAAAAGUUCCUUCUUCUCCCUGUCCCCAGAGAGUCAGGGAUGGGCUCAGGAUCUGAGCUCAGCUGAAAGGACAUUGAUGACCAAGGUAGGGUAGGAAUCACUCAUGAAGCCACUGCAGUGUCCCCGCAGUGGAGAUGGUGUCCUGCUGCACACAGAUGCGUCCUACUGGAUUGUCGCUGCUGAAGGUUGAGUUGCCAUCAUCCUUGAUUUGGGAAGUUCAAGGUUGUCUCAGUUCCCGUGCACUUUCUAAGCUGUGUCUCCCGUUGCCAAUGCUCUGAGCCCCCAUACCUUCCAGUGAUCUGUCCUGCUUGUCUCAAUAUCCAGACUUGGGAAUUUCUUACUUGGUAAUGAAAGUUUUUGAAUACUUAUUUAUUUUGAGAGAGAGAGAGAGAGCAUCCAAGCAGAGGAGGGGCAGAGAGAAAGGGAGAGAGAGAAUCCAAAGCAGGCUCCAUGCUUAGUGCUCAGCUCGGAGCCCAGUGCAGGGCUCGAUCCCACGACCAUGAGAUCAUGACCUGAGCUGAAAUCAAGACUCAGAUGCUCAACCAACUGAGUCACUCGGCACUUGGUAAUGACAAAUUUUGGAUACAAAGAAGAAAACUGUUUCCUAAAAGAACUCCAACCCUAUCUCUGUCUGUAGUAAAUGUUAAGCAAGUAUUAAGGCUUUUGGUGAAAGGACUAUAAAUCCUUAGCCAGUCCUGGGGGCUCCCCUGAAGGACCCAUCCCUGGUCAGUUUAUUAACCCCUUCUUCAGGUUUGCUGGCACACAGGCUCUCCCUUUGUCCAUCAAGGUCCCAGAAUAAGGCUUCUUUUGCCACUUCUGCUUAACAAAAGUUGUUGAAUGACUAUUUGCAAAAAUUUCUCUCUAUGACUUAAGAGUUAUUUGGCUAAUAUGCAACCGAAAUUCAAUUUAGAAAUAAAUAUGCUGAGGGUGUGAUUGGUGGGGUUCACUGAAGUGGCCUCAUUGCCCUUGAUGCUUGACUAUUUAAGUUGACGUCACCAACUAUAGCUUGUGUAAUUAUACUAAUAAGGGACUAAGUUUUUUUCAUGUUUUAUUAAACUGGAUCUGUGGGUAGCUAUUGUUGGAAUAAGGGGUUAAUCCGCCUCAAAAGACUGAAAAGCGAUGCCCUGCAGAAUAUGCUUCAAAGUAUUUAGCAAAGGGUUAGAAAGCCCUCUAUGAUUUGGGCCCAACUACACUCUUCAGCCUCAUUUCUGUCUACAUAAUGACUCAUUCUGAAAACGUUCUGACAACUGCUCAGCUUGUAGUCCCGCUUUUUCCCUCCCACACAGUGUGUUGUUUUUGCCUCAUGUUUUGCCUUCUGCCUGCAAUGCUUUCUCCUCUCCUGUGAGUUGGUUAAGUGCUGCUACCCCUUAGGACUCAAUCAUUAGCAGCGGUGUCCUUCCUGCUCAUAUCUGUGUGGCCGGUGUAGGAUCCCUUUAAGGUGGCUCCCUCGUACCACAAGGAAAGAGAUCAUAAGAAAUAUAUAUUUCUUAUUUCUUAUAUAUCUCCGUCCCUAUUUCUGGCACAGAGCAACUAAAACCCCUGUAAAUUCCUAAGUGAUAAGAGCACUAGUAACCUUUUUUGUUCUAGUAUUUGGACUUCCAUCUGAGUUCCUGACAUAGGACUCUUGACACCCUUGAAACUUCCUGGGUGACAACAGUGUCUUUCGUUCCAAUGAGGUGACUCUGGGUGGAUUCUUGGAUGAAGGCUGGUUACCAGAAAGACCAUGCCGUGAGUUAGAAGCUUGGAAUUUUCAGUGCUUGCCCCCCGACUCCAUUCUUUUUUUUUUAAUAAACAAUUUUAUUUUUUAUUUUUUUUCAAUAUAUGAAAUUUAUUGUCAAAUUGGUUUCCACACAACACCCAGUGCUCAUCCCAAAAGGUGCCCUCCUCAAUACCCAUCACUCACCCUCCCCUCCCUCCCACCCCUCCCACCCCCCCAUCAACCCUCAGUUUGUUCUCAGUUUUUAAGAGUCUCUUAUGCUUUGGCUCUCUCCCACUCUAACCUCUUUUUUUUUUUUUUUUUUUUUUUUUUUUUUUAUUUUUUUUUUUUUNNNNNNNNNNNNNNNNNNNNNNNNNNNNNNNNNNNNNNNNNNNNNNNNNNNNNNNNNNNNNNNNNNNNNNNNNNNNNNNNNNNNNNNNNNNNNNNNNNNNNNNNNNNNNNNNNNNNNNNNNNNNNNNNNNNNNNNNNNNNNNNNNNNNNNNNNNNNNNNNNNNNNNNNNNNNNNNNNNNNNNNNNNNNNNNNNNNNNNNNNNNNNNNNNNNNNNNNNNNNNNNCAUAUGGUAUCUGUCUUUCUCUGUAUGGCUUAUUUCACUUAGCAUCACACUCUCCAGUUCCAUCCAUGUUGCUACAAAGGGCCAUAUUUCAUUCUUUCUCAUUGCCACGUAGUACUCCAUUGUGUAUAUAAACCACAAUUUCUUAAUUUCUUUAUCCAUUCAUCAGUUGAUGGACAUUUAGGCUCUUUCCAUAAUUUGGCUAUUGUUGAGAGUGCUGCUAUAAACAUUGGGGUACAAGUGCCCCUAUGCAUCAGUACUCCUGUAUCCCUUGGGUAAAUUCCUAGCAGUGCUAUUGCUGGGUCAUGGGGUAGGUCUAUUUUUAAUUUUCUGAGGAACCUCCACACUGUUUUCCAGAGUGGCUGCACCAGUUUGCAUUCCCACCAACAGUGCAAGAGGGUUCCCGUUUCUCCACAUCCUCUCCAGCAUCUAUAGUCUCCUGAUUUGUUCAUUUUGGCCACUCUGACUGGCGUGAGGUGAUAUCUGAGUGUGGUUUUGAUUCACUCCAUUCUUUUAAGAAAGGAGAAGCGCUGAAAAUGGAGGUGAUGAUUGAUCAUGUCUACGUGAUGAAGCCUGUGUAAAAAUUCCAAAGGUACAGAGUGUGAAGAGCUUCCGCGUCAUGAACCACAAGGAGGUGUGGAGACAGUGGCACACCCGGAGAGGAUGUGGAGGCUUCCCGCCCCUUCCCAGUACUGUGCCCUAAGCAUCCUUUCCACCUGGAUGUUCAUCUGUGUCCUUUAUCAUAUUCUUUUAUAAUAGACUGGUAGAUGCUAAGUAAACAGCUUUCCGGAAUUCUGUGCACUGCUCUAGCGAAUUAAUCAAGACUGAAGAGGAGACGGUGGGAAUCUCAGAUUUAUAGCUGAUUGGUCAGGAGCAUAGGUGACAGUCAGAACUUGCCACUGACAUCUGGAGAAGGGGGGUCGGAUGCAGUCUUGUGGGAAUGAGCCCUUAAGCUGUGGGAUCUGAUGGUACCUCCAGCUAGACAGUGUCAGAAUUGAGUGAAAUUGUAGGACACCCAGUUGGUGUCAGAACACCGCUUGGUGUUGGUGGGGAAAUGCAAUCUCCCCCCCAUUCGCAUUGGUUCCAGAACACCCUUUUAGACUCCAUGAAUGUUAAUACGUGUCAUGAUAGCGUCACGUUAAAACAGCUAACACGUCAAAUUUUCCGCAUUUUUGUUUGACACUGCAUACAUACACGUUAAAAAAAAAUGGGAAUGUGCUUAAUAUUCUCUAACUUAACCUGCUUCUCCUGCUUUUGUUUUCCCAGUUGAACUCUAGUUUGAGAGGUUUGCAAUGGUUUUUCCUAAUUCAGUUAACACUGACUGUGGUAUUGCAGAUAAGAACCACAAAGCCGUUGUGGUUCUCUUUCCUUUGUAAACCUGGGUUUUUUGUUUGUUUGUUUGCUGUUUUUGUUUAUCUUGGUGCUAUGUUUUGUGCAUGUGUACAAUGUGUGUAUCUGGACACUCAUAGGAAGUCAAAAGUUCUAGUAGGAUGUGUGUGUGUGUGUGUGUGUGUGUGUGUGUGUGUGUGUUUUCCCAAAGUGUUUUCAUCAGCUAUGGAAAUUUGUCAUACAUAAUUUGAUUAUUAAUUUCCGUAUUUUUUCCUUUUGUUUAAAGUGUGUUGGCGUGCCUAGAUUUACCAAACACGUAUUUUACCUUGUAUGUGUUGGAUCUUUUCACUUUUCCAUCGUUUUAAUACAGUUGAUCUUCACAAAUUGAGUUUCUAGAGCUUGCAUUUUGUUCUUGAAUUAUUAUGGGGUGAUGGAUUUUUUCAUUCACGCUUUCCAUUUCUAAGAGCUCUUCCUGCAAUCUGAUUGCCUCUCUUUGCAACUUGUUCUUGUUCUUAUCGCUGCCAUUCUCGUGAAUCUGGCUGAGAAUACUAAUUAGAUAUUUGCAAAGACCUCUCUGAUUCCUUUCACGAAUUCUGUUUUCUUUCAUAGUUUUUGUUCUCGUUUUCGAGUGCGAAGUUAUCGUUUCUGGCUGCUGUUUUCCUCACAUGCCCAGUGUUGUGUAUUGAUUGCUCAUGUUUAAGCAAAAAUGAAAAGGUAGCUCCUUGUUUGGAGAGCUGGUGCUGGUUCCUCCAGGGAUCCUGUCGCCCAGUGAUAAUCUUUCAGCAGGCGCUGUGGCCGCAGGUCUGUCUCCACUUCCUUCUCGCAUCUUUUGUAUUUGUAUCGGGCACCAUGGUGGCAGCAACACAGGGAGAGGAUUCAGAAUCCGACUCUUCUGUGUUCAGAUGUUUGCUGGAGAUCCUAGAGAACUGAUUUUUCCCCCUAAAAGUAUAGUUAAUUGAUUCUACACUAUUUUUGAUUGACUUCAUUCUCAGGUCUUUGCAAUGGAAAGGCAAUUAUGUACUCAAUUCAGAUAAAUAAGAAUAAAUAAGAAUAUAAAUAGAAAUUCUUAUAAAUAAGAACCCUGAGUUCUGUCUCCAGAAACACAAUCCAUUGAAGUUUUACUAAUAUUUUUGCAUAAGUAACCUGUUGUUUUAAGGUCCUUCUUACCUCUUCUUAUUAAAUAUCUUAGCUAUUUGGCCAUUUAUGAUUUCACAGAAUUUGCACUCUCCCUGGGAGUCCAAAUUAAACCUCUUAAGGUUUAGUUGAAAUUAUACAAAAUUAUUUCUUUGAAGAAUUAGCAUCUGAAAAAUUUCCUUCCACCUGUUCAGGCACAUAUUUCUAUAUUGUUAUAUGUGAUGCAUAUUUCCUAUUAAAAAAAAUUCCUACGCACUUUGUAUUUUAUAUUUAUUUUGAAUGUAAUUUUUUCCAUUACACAUCCUCACUGGUUAAAAUGGUGCCUAAGAAACAGUUGAUGUUUCAUAUUAUCAUUUGCAAGUGUUCAUCUUACACGUUUUUUUUUUCCUAUUUCUAUUAGGCUUUCAGGUAACUUUAUUGUAUUUUUUUAUUUAAAGAAGACAUAUUUCAGGGGCGCCUGGGUGGCUCAGUUGGUUAAGCGUCUGACUUCAGCUUAGGUCAUGAUCUCACAGUUUGUGGGUUUGAGCCCCUCGUCGGGCUCUGUGCUGACAGCUCAGAGCCUGGAGCCUGCUUCAGAUUCUGUGUCUCCCUCUCUCUCUGCCCCUUCCCCGCUUGUGCUCUGUCUCUCUGUCUCUCUCUCUCUCUCUGUGUCAAAAAAUAAAUAAAUAAUUAAAAAAAUAAAGGAGACACUUCAAACACAUAAAUGAUAUAACAAACAUUUGUAUCCAUCUCUUAAAAAUAAUAUUUAGCUAUAUUUAUUUUUUAUAUUUAAAAGUUAUAUAGGUGUAAUUAAAUAAAGUGAUUGAAAAUCCUUUUACAAUGCCUCUUCUCAAUCUUGUUACCUCCCUUCAUUAUGAGAAGAAAGCAUGAUCAUGAAUUGGUUGAUUAUCCUUCCUAUCUGUGAUUUAAUAAUUUUACUAUCUAUAAAUUUAUCUGUGAACAAAGCACAGUAUUAUUUUAAAUGGUUUAAAAUGUGCAUAAAUUAUAAUAUACUGCAUAUAUGGUUCUAUAUAUUUCCAAAAUUUUUUCACAUGACCAACCCUAUAUUCAAAGGGAAGUGAAAUAGAGCACAAUUCUUGAAAAAGUUGCUACAAAAGACUUUGGCCAUUAAAAAGCAAACCAACAACCAAUCAACCAAAAAACCUACUACAAUACAAAGAAUUAGAAACAACAUAACAGUUAUCCAAAUAUUAAGAUAUAAUUUGAUUUUUAAAACAUGAUAAUUAUAAUUGUAUAAUAUUUUGCUUCUUGGCUAUUCUAAAUUUUUUUCUACCAUUUUUCUUAAAAAAUUUUUUUUAAUGUUUGUUUAUUUUUUUUUUUUUUUUAAAUUUUUUUUUUUUUCAACGUUUAUUUAUUUUUGGGACAGAGAGAGACAGAGCAUGAACGGGGGAGGGGCAGAGAGAGAGAGGGAGACACAGAAUCGGAAACAGGCUCCAGGCUCUGAGCCAUCAGCCCAGAGCCCGACGUGGGGCUCGAACUCACUGACCGCGAGAUCGUGACCUGGCUGAAGUCGGACGCUUAACCGACUGCGCCACCCAGGCGCCCCAAUGUUUGUUUAUUUUUGAGAGAGAGAGAGAUUUUUCAGAGCAUGAGCAGGGGAGGGGCAGAGAGAGAGGGAGACACAGAAUCCAAGGCAGGCUCCAGGCUCUGAGCCGUCAGCACAGAGCCUGACGUGGGGCUCAAACUCACAAACUGUGAGAUCAUGACCUGAGUCUAAGUCAGACGCCUAACCGACUGAGCUACCCAGGCAUCCCAUUUUUUCUACCAUUUUUCUAUCAUUGUAUAUCUAAAUUAUGUAUUUUGGUUUUUUCCCAAGAGGCCUUUGUGUAAAUAAAUUUUUGUGUUUAUUUCUAAUUAUUUCUUUAUGAUAGAUCUGCGAAUUGAAAAUACCUCCAAAAUGCAUGGUUUAUUUAAAAAUAUUUUUUCCUAAUAAGUAACUUUUAUUUGCCGUCUAUAAAAAUUGUGGGCUUUUUUUUUCUCUGCCACCGGCAGAUAAUUGAGAUGGUUUACUUCAGUCAGGGUCCUUCAGAGAAAUAAAACCAAUAGGAUGCAUAGAAUAUAUGCAUAUGUAUAUAAACAUAUUUGUCUAUCUGUCUAUCUAUCUGUCUAUCUUCUGUCUAUCUACAUAUCUAUUUAUUUGUCUGUCUUCUUUCCUUUCAUCUGUAGAAAGACAUUAAUUUAUUAUAAAGAAAUGGCAAACUGGGGACCCAGGAAGGCCAGAGUCCAAAGGCCUGACAACAUACCUGAGUUUUGAUGGUGUAAGUUCCUGUUUGAAAACCAAUAGACUGGAGACUCAAGAAAAGUCAGUAUUCAGUUCAAGUUCAAAGGAGGAAAGAGAUCAGUGUUCUUGCUCAAGCAUUCAGGCAAGAGAGGUUCCUGCUUACUCAGCAUUUUUGUUCUGUUCAGGUCUUCACUUGAUUGAAUGACACCUGCUCACAUUACAGAGGACAAUCUGCUUUACUCUGUCUCCUGAUACAUGUGAAUCUCAUCCAGAAACACCCUCACAGAAAGCCCCAGAAUGAUGUUUGACCAAAUGUCUGGGCAUCUUAAUGGCCCCAUCAAGUUAACACCUAAAAUGAACCAUCGGAUGAAUAUAUUUGUUAUUGCCCUAUGGACUCCUAUCUUCUAUUCAUCAUCAUAUCUCAUAUGGACAGCCACUUAACAUCUUUACUAUUUGCCAAACGGAAAAAAAUAAUUACAAAACAUCUCUUUAGAAG